RNAcentral lists this ribosomal RNA (1019 nucleotides) under Triticum dicoccoides. Its description in RNAcentral is "rRNA SSU_rRNA_eukarya". It matches the Rfam family "Bacterial small subunit ribosomal RNA", at positions 875 to 1520 of the family's 1533-position model. The record is from RNAcentral. Lineage: Eukaryota; Viridiplantae; Streptophyta; Magnoliopsida; Poales; Poaceae.
GGGGAGUACGGUCGCAAGACCGAAACUCAAAGGAAUUGACGGGGGCCUGCACAAGCGGUGGAGCAUGUGAUUUAAUUCGAUACAACACGCAAAACCUUACCAGCCCUUGACAUAUGAACAACAAAACCUGUCCUUAACAGGAUGGUACUGACUUUCAUACAGGUGCUGCAUGGCUGUCGUCAGCUCGUGUCGUGAGAUGUUUGGUCAAGUCCUAUAACGAGCGAAACCCUCGUUUUGUGUUGCUGAGACAUGCGCCUAAGGAGAAAUUGCCACCGAGUGACGUGCCAGCGCUACUACUUGAUUGAGUGCCAGCACGUAGCUGUGCUUUCAGCAAGAAUUUCACCAUUGGGAGCCGGUGCCUUUCGAAGCACUUUCACGUGUGAACCGAAGUCGUCUUGCCCAAGACCCACGGAGACCUACCUAUAGUGACGUCAAAGUACCAGUGAGCAUGGAGAUUUGGUUGAAAUUGGUUACGACGACGUCGAGUUGGCGGCGGAGGAAGACUCGGCAUGAAGGCCAGAAAAUGGUGUGGAACGUAGUGGUAAUAGUACGCGCCCCGCUCCGAAACAAAGAAAAAGGUGCGUGCCGCACUCACGAGGGAUUGCCAGUGAGAUACUGGAGGAAGGUGGGGAUGACGUCAAGUCCGCAUGGCCCUUAUGGGCUGGGCCACACACGUGCUACAAUGGCAAUGACAAUGGGAAGCAAGGCUGUAAGGCGGAGCGAAUCCGAAAAGAUUGCCUCAGUUCGGAUUGUUCUCUGCAACUCGGGAACAUGAAGUUGAAAUCGCUAGUAAUUGCGGAUCAGCAUGCCGCGGUGAAUAUGUACCCGGGCCCUGUACACACCGCCGGUCACACCCUGGGAAUUGGUUUCGCCCGAAGCAUCGGACCAAUGAUCACCCAUGACUUCUGUGUACCACUAGUGCCACAAAGGCCUUUGGUGGUCUUAUUGGCGCAUACCACGGUGGGGUCUUCGACUGGGGUGAAGUCGUAACAAGGUAGCCGUAGGGGAACCUGUGGCUG